Molecule: small RNA, 269 nt
Filed under: Arabidopsis thaliana (thale cress)
Lineage: Eukaryota; Viridiplantae; Streptophyta; Magnoliopsida; Brassicales; Brassicaceae
Description: ATSL270950
Source: RNAcentral
UUUAUUUUUUUGGGUAAAACUGUAUGACUCUGUAACUUUUAUACCGUGAGGCCAAACUUGGCAUUUGAUACCUUUUUGGAAAGCCCAAAGAGAGCCCUCCGACGAAAGAAGCAGGACAAUGGAAUUCUUCCAUUGAUUUUUUGUCGACUCCAAAUUUUUACCUUUAAGUAUUUUUUCGGACCUUUCCAUUAUCUAUGCUAUAUUACGGACCUAAAAUUACUUGUUAGAACAUUGUUUUCGAAUAUUUUUCAUGUACAAAUCUCGUUAAG